GUCCUUAUAUUGUCUUCAGCAG
Molecule: unclassified non-coding RNA, 22 nt
Filed under: Mus musculus (house mouse)
Lineage: Eukaryota; Metazoa; Chordata; Mammalia; Rodentia; Muridae
Description: oocyte_clustered_small_RNA3956
Source: RNAcentral